RNAcentral lists this ribosomal RNA (376 nucleotides) under uncultured bacterium. RNAcentral's name for it is "bacterial SSU rRNA". It matches the Rfam family "Bacterial small subunit ribosomal RNA", at positions 524 to 898 of the family's 1533-position model. The record is from RNAcentral.
UACGGAGGGUGCAAACGUUGUUCGGAAUCAUUGGGCGUAAAGCGCACGCAGGCGGUUUAUCAGGUCGGAUGUGAAAUGCCGGGGCUCAACCCCGGAACUGCGUUCGAAACCGGUAAGCUGGAGUUUCGGAGGGAGAAGGGGAAUUCCUGGUGUAGGGGUGAAAUCCGUAGAGAUCAGGAGGAACACCGGCGGCGAAAGCGCCUUCUUGGACGAUGACUGACGCUGAGGUGCGGAAGCGUGGGGAGCAAACAGGAUUAGAUACCCUGGUAGUCCACGCCUUAAACGAUGUUCACUAGGUGGUGGGAGAAUCAACCCUCGCGCUGCCGUAGCUAACGCAUGAAGUGAACCGCCUGGGGAGUACGGUCGCAAGAUUAAA